This 203-nucleotide long non-coding RNA is filed under the name Lathyrus oleraceus (garden pea). Its description in RNAcentral is "Pisum sativum (pea) long non-coding RNA (PSAT_LNC011891)". Lineage: Eukaryota; Viridiplantae; Streptophyta; Magnoliopsida; Fabales; Fabaceae. The record is from RNAcentral.
CAACACAACCAUCCUCCCUCCUGAACUGUGCGCCGCCCUCCGCCUCACAAAUCUGUAACCGUGCACUGCACCACAACCCUCUACAACCAUAUACACACACAUCCAUACAAAACCAUUCAACUUCAUCCUUGAAGCAAAGGCAGUGACAUCACCAUUAAAACAACAACAAACCAAGUUCAUCCCUCAUACAAAUUCAUAUUACU